UACGGAGGGAGCUAGCGUUGUUCGGAAUUACUGGGCGUAAAGCGCACGUAGGCGGCUUUGCAAGUUUAGAGGUGAAAGCCCGGGGCUCAACUCCGGAAUUGCCUUUAAAACUGCAUCGCUAGAGUUGUGGAGAGGUAAGUGGAAUUCCGAGUGUAGAGGUGAAAUUCGUAGAUAUUCGGAAGAACACCAGUGGCGAAGGCGACUUACUGGACACAUACUGACGCUGAGGUGCGAAAGCUAGGGGAGCAAACAGGAUUAAGAAA
Molecule: ribosomal RNA, 263 nt
Filed under: uncultured bacterium
Lineage: Bacteria
Description: partial 16S ribosomal RNA
Rfam family: Bacterial small subunit ribosomal RNA
Source: RNAcentral